RNAcentral lists this ribosomal RNA (207 nucleotides) under uncultured bacterium. Its description in RNAcentral is "partial 16S ribosomal RNA". It matches the Rfam family "Bacterial small subunit ribosomal RNA", at positions 568 to 774 of the family's 1533-position model. The record is from RNAcentral.
UGUGUAGGCGGCUUAUUAAGUUAGAAGUGUAAUACCUGGGCUCAACUUAGGUGCUACUUCUAAGACUGAUGAGCUUGAGUGUGGGAGAGGUAAGUGGAAUUCCUAGUGUAGCGGUGGAAUGCGUAGAUAUUAGGAGGAACACCGGUGGCGAAGGCGGCUUACUGGACCAUAACUGACGCUGAGACACGAAAGCGUGGGUAGCAAACA